Molecule: long non-coding RNA, 2161 nt
Organism: Pan troglodytes (chimpanzee)
Lineage: Eukaryota; Metazoa; Chordata; Mammalia; Primates; Hominidae
Exons: 3
Source: RefSeq, a predicted model, not a curated record
CCCCUGAGCAUUUCAAAAUACGGUUUCUGCUCCUAUGAGAAUCUAAUGCCGUUGCUGAUCUGACAGGAGGCGGAGCUCAGGCAGUAAGGCUCCCGGCCACUCAUCUGCUGUGCGGACGGGUUCCUAACAGACCACAGACACAUAGCCGUUUGCAGCCCGGAGGAUAGGGACUCCUGCUUACGGUGUAUAUCUAGAAGCAGGCUAAUCGAGCUUUAUCCAUCUUCAAACCCAGUAAUGGCCCAUGGAAUGCUUCUCAUGCCUCAAAUCUCUUUGUCUUCCCAUUCUGCUACCUGACUGUAAAGUUCUCACAUGAACUGUGCCACAAUACACAUAUCAAAGACUUGGAACCAACCCAAAUGCCCAUCAAUCAUAGACUGGAUAAAGAAAAUAUGCACUUCUCCUUCCUGCCAUCAUGUGAAGAAGGAUGUGUUUGCUUCCCCUUCAACCAUGAUUGUAAGUUUCCUGAGGCCUCCGCAGCCAUGCAGAACUGUGAGUCAAUUAAACCUCUUUCCUUUCUAAAUGACACAGUCUUGGGCAGCCCUUUAGAGCAGUGUAAGAACAGACUAAUAUAUACUCUAACAUUAGAAUAUUUUUUAGGUUUAUUGUCAAAAAUACUCUUAUACAUAGCAAGAUGUAUUUAUUUUCUAUUCUAUAAUAUUCACAUAAAAAGAACACGCUUAGUCCAAAACAUAAGUUCUCAAUGUUUUUGAUUCAUUUACAUAUAAGUUAAGGCCAAAUGUAACAUAACAUGCAUGUAAAAGGGUAAUUGGUGGCCUACUUUUCAAUGACUUGCUAGCCAUUCAUAUGAACACACAUAAAUAAGAUACAAAAUAUAUUUCACCACAAGAAGCUCUGUUUUAAUAAUAGCUUUAUAUUUUGGUUGUCCAGUGGAUGAAAUAUAUAUUUCUAUCCUCAGAUUUUGUAAAAACAAUCUAUUUAGUAAAAUACACAUGAGAAACAGAAGACAAAAACCUAUCUGAAUAUCACCUCAAGAUAUUUAAUAUGUAUUUGACCUCUAACAAUGAAUGGUUUUCAUGAAUUUAAGCUAUUUAUUGAAACAGGUAUUAUUUUAAAAUGCCUCAAAGAAAAAUAUGUAUGAAACCUAACAAAUGAUAAUAAUUUUAUGUAGAAGAAACAGAUGAUUGAGUUUGUGCAAUCUUAUUUUGUUAAUUUUGUUUUACAUAUGUUUCUAUAUCCUCAGAUAUAAAGUAUAGUGGUUGUAUGAUAUGUUCUGGAAAGGGGAAUGUUCAAAUCCAGUCUCUGUUACUCUGUUAUUUGGGCAUAUAUCAUCUGCCUUAUAACACCAAUUUUCUUAUAUAUAAAAUUUGUGUAUAAUAAUAUAUAACUUAUUUCUGAUACAUAGCAGUUUAUUAAUAUGAACUCUUAUAUUGUGAAUAUUGUAAAUUUUAUUUCUAUCAUCUCCUUGAGCAUAUGUGAUGCUUCAUUACUUUCUAUAUCCUUAAAUUUUAGCAGUGAAUUUUUUGCUAGUUGUUCAAUAAAUGUAAACUGACAUUGCUUUGCUAAAUAUGCCAAAUAAUGUCCUUGGUAUAUGUUUUUAAAAAUGUACUACAACAUCAUAAGUGCUUGCUUCCUAUGUGACAAAGAAAAUCUCCCAUAAGUACCUAGGGGCUUUUAAAAUGAAUUACAUGUGAGAUAUUUAAAAAAAAAGAUCUCUACAGAGAUAGAGAGUAGAAUGAUGGUUAUCAGAGGCUGGGUAGGGUAGCAGGGAGGAAAAGAUAAAGACAGGCUGGUUAAUAGGUACAAAAAAGCAGCUAGAUGAAAGGAAUAUGGUCUAAUGUAUGGUAGCACUAUAGUUAAAAAUGUAUUGUAUAUUUCAAAAUAACUAAAAGUUAUUUUGAAGAAUUACAUUGAAUUGAAAUGUUCCUAACACUGAUAAAUAAUAAACGUUUGAGGUGAUGGAUACCCCAAUUACAAUGAUUGGAUCAUUACACAUUGUUAAUUUGUAUAAAAAAUCACAUGUACUUCAUACAUACAACUAUUAUGUAUUUACAAUGAUUAAAUUAAAAAAAUUUAAAAUAGAUGAGAAAUUGGGUGCAGUGAAACACAUGUGUAAUCCCAGCUACUCAGGAGGCUGAAGCAAAAAGAUCACUUGCUACCAGGAGUUUGAGGCAGACUUGGCAAUAGCAAGACCCCCAUCUCU